Non-coding RNA from Daphnia pulex (common water flea), 74 nucleotides. NCBI's taxonomy places the organism in Eukaryota, Metazoa, Arthropoda, Branchiopoda, Diplostraca, Daphniidae. The record is from Rfam.
GCCUCUAUGGCGUAAUUGGCUAGCGCGUUCGGCUAUUAACCGGAAGGCUGGUGGUUCGAUUCUACCCAGGGGUG